RNAcentral lists this long non-coding RNA (5798 nucleotides) under Marmota monax (woodchuck). The record is from RNAcentral. Lineage: Eukaryota; Metazoa; Chordata; Mammalia; Rodentia; Sciuridae.
CAAGCAACUGGUAGACAUCAGGUGCUCAAUAAGACAGUUUUUCUCAGUCUCUGAGAAAGGAAAUCUAAUAGCAAUACCAAUAUCUUAAGCAUCCCAGGUCUCAAACCACUUCACUAUUUUGUGAAGAAAAUGUCUGGUGUUUAUUAGGAAGUGACCUUAAAGUUAUUUAGGUGUUUUGUGACUCACACUAGUGAUAACUUGGGACUGGGGUUCCCUUGGAUCUGCCUGUUAAGGACAGCAUUGUGCCAGCGCACCCUCUGGGAAUACAUCUUCCCUCUUCGAGCUCAUAGCCAUUGAGACCAAAGGGCCUAGCUCAAGCAGGGAGUGGGGAGGAGAAAGCAGACGCCCUUCUUGACACUGUCCAUCUAAUAGCGCCUUCUAGACAGGACCUCGUCUUUCCUCUGUGGCCACUUUAAGCUCCUCAAAAGGAGAAUAGGAGCCCUUGAAAACCAAUAGCACUUGGACUUACACAAGCUGGCUGAUGGAACGGGCAUACUAAACUUAGGUCUCCCAUGCCUCAGUGGCCAUGACCGAUUUAAGGUCAGUUUGGAAACCCUGUUAUGUCUGUAGAGUGGCAUCACCAUUUAAAACAUUUAAUGCCCAGAUCACAUUUUUAACAUUACACUUUCCUUCUCUGGUCCCCCAACUCCGUAACUCCCUGGUUCUUUACACGUAACCUUAUUCCACCUAGAAAAGGUCAUACAGAACCCAUGGGCCAGUAUCAACGUCUCCCUAAAGAACUUCCCUGCUGAUGAUGAUAUUAAGCCAAUCAACUGCGUAUGGACUUAGCCCUUCAUUCUCUGCCCUGAUGACACGAUGGUUGAGUCCUGCAGAGAGUAGAUGUGGUAUGUGCAGGUGGCUGCAGCACCUUUCUCCUCUCCCCUGUUGCAGUCCAUAUCACCCCCUGAGUGGUCUGAAAGAAGUGCACAUCAGCACAAACUUGUUUAUUCCCAUUUCAUUUCUCCAAGGAAAGCUCAAACCCAUUCCUCAGCAUGGCUUGCAAACGGCUCCUUGUGUGCCAUUUCUCUCCAUUCCCUAUCAUGCACUUUAAAACCUAGACAUGUUAAAUUUCCUGCCAUCCCAGCCCCUGAGUGCCCAUGCUUCAGUGGAUGCAGGGUGCGAGCAUGGUCACCGAUUCUUCUAGUAAGCCUGACUUGAGCUGCCAAGAGCAGGUGAAGGAACAGCCCUCCGUUUGCAGGGGUAAAGUUCUCAGUGUGGCUCAUAAAAGACAAAAACAGUUGAUUCAUCUUAACCAGAGAAAUAUCAUUAUUCCAAAGUCCAGAAACAUCAAUAGAGAGGGCAAAAGGACGUCAAAAGCUCAUCUCAAAGGAAUAGCUUCCUAGGGAAGGCAUAGAUCCUUUAUUUUGCCCCAUGGUAUGGCAGAAGGGAACAUUUUUUUCUAGUAUUAUUUUUCACAUAUCAUAAAUGGGAAAUGGUAUUUAAGGCAUUUUUUAAUCACCUCAGAAUUUAUGGAUUUAUGAAUCAUGUCGUUUUGUUUUGUUUGGUAGUGAGGAUUGAACCCAAGGGUACUCUCCUAUUGAGCCAUACCCUAAGCCCUUUUAUUUAUUUUUAUGACAGUCCAGUCCCACUGCACCUGAUUGAAUCCUGUUUUUUGUCCCGAGUUUUUAGCUUUUACAUAUCAAAGAAAAAUGGAGGUGUCUAAGAGAAGGAUUGGAGGGACAGAGAGAGAGUAGCAGGAAAGUCUCAAGUUAUCUUCUGCCAGACCGCAUGUGGUGAACGGGAAGGUGGGACAUUCUGAAGUUGGCCAACAAAGUUUACUUCUUUCUCUUUAAUAACUAGUUUCUAAAUUUGAGCAAUAUUAAGGUCUUUCUAAUUAAAUUUUAGAUGUCAUAAAUGAUUGACUGGUUUUCUUUCAAAAAGACUCCAACAGCACAGCAACACACCACAGGGUAUGUGUCAUGUAGAGGUAGCAUGGCUUCCUGACUCUCAGUAAUGACAGAUAGCCAUUGAGAGGAUUCCCAUGUGUCCUAUUAGAUGAUCUUUCCUGAAAGGUUUGUGACUCCUUCUUGGUUGCUGACUUCUAUCUCAUUUCUCCAAGGAAAGUACAAACCCUAACCCUUAGCAUGGCUUGCAAACGGCUCCUCAUCCUUUCCAUUCGGUUUCAUAUACUCCAAGAUCUAGACAUAAUAAAUUUCCUAAAUACAGAGUCUACCCAACAAUAGUGGAAUCCCUUCAAGCAAUAUGACAGGAAGCUGCUUGUCUUCUUCCUAAUACCAUGUAGAAAAUAGGGCUUUGAAUUAUUAUAGCUUUCCACUAUCAUACCCAAACCAUUAUGUUUCUUCCUAUUAAAAAAAAACAAAAAAACCUUUUUCUUUGAGACCACUUCCAUUUGGCUGUAUCACCUGCCAGCCUAUCUCACACUGUUAUUGACCAUUGGAUACCAUCAGAUAACAUUGUUACAUACCACUGUUAUCUCUCAGUAUCUAUCAUCCACCUCUGUCCAGCAUUAUCUGCCAUCCACCCCUAUCACUACUAUCACCCCUAUCACUAUCACUACCUGUCAUCACCCCAUCUGUCAUUAUCUGCUACCCAACCCUGUCUAUCAUUAUCCACCAUCCAUCCCUACCCAGCCUCAUUGGCCAUCUACCACUGAGAACUCUGGCUCACAGUCAUCCUCUCUGCUCUGCCAUAUUCCUGGUGACGAAAGUCCACAUGGAUAAGUCACCUGUCAUGCUGGCCUCAUAUUUCUGACCCUACUUGUUUAGUACCUUUACUUCUGUGCUUUAUGCAUGUAGACCAAGGCUGCGGCCUGUGAGUUUUCGCAUUCUAGUGCUUCGAUUGUGAAUCUGACACACCACUCCCCAAUAAGAGCUUUCCAUCCUCUCAUCUCCUUCACUUUCUUCCACCACCACACUGAGAUUUUCAGUCAGUUGCUGUCUCUAUUUUCUCUCCAAUUGGAGCCCCUUAUUGGUGUAUUUAUAUUCUGGAUUCAAUUGUCGAUAUUCUUUUGCCAACAGAAAGGUCAUCCACACUUUUCCUGAACAUCCCUGAUUUCUAGUGCCAGCCUAGUCAUCGGCUCUGCCAGGCAGGACUUCUCUCUAUCUCAAUUAGUUUCUUCUGCAUUCAUAACAAGAGUCGUGUCUUUAAUCAUUCUGUGACCUCUUAGCCUUGCCCUCAGCAGAUGACCUGCAUGUGACUUCGUAGGAGGAAUAAACCACCAAGUGACAAUUUCUUCAAUUGUGCCUUCUCAGUUACAAGUUUUCUCUUCUUACUUUCUUUACUCCUACUAAUUCUUUCACCCACUUGUUUCACCCACAUAUUCUUUCCUACUCUUGGGCCAAUGUCACGGUUUGACCAUCUAAUAUGUUACUUUUUUUUUUUAAUUUUUUUAAUAUUUAUUUAUUUAUUUUAGUUUUUGGCAGACACAACAUCUUUGUUUGUAUGUGGUGCUGAGGAUUGAACCCGGGCCGCACGCAUGCCAGGCGACUGCGCUACCGCUUGAGCCACAUCCCAGCCCUAAUAUGUUACUUAAUAAUGAGCUGUACAUCACUGUCUUCUGCAUGGUGCCAGUGUCACAGUUUACUCCUUGCCUACUUUGCUUAAGGAACUAUAUUUUCAAGCUCACCAAGAGAAGUUCAACUGAAGGUGAUUGCUCCAAAACUACCUGGUUGACACCAACAACCAGGCUCCAAUGAGGAACAGCCAGAGCUGGUACUUAUGUUACAUCCCUGGACAUCUACUCAUAUAUCAUACACAGAGGGAAGUCCCAGAACAAAAGAGAGAACACACACAAAAGUAAAAGCAUAUAUAAGAUGAAGAGACUCCAUUUUAAUGAUUGCACAAGUCCAAGACCUCUGAAAACAUGGAAACAGGAAAACAAAUCUUUCCCCCAAAUUCACAAUCCCCCAACAAAGGAUCUCACAGAUAUUGGAAGUGGAUGAAAUUCCAGAAAAAGGUAAUUUUAAAAACUGAUUAUUGAAAUGCUUAAUGAACUAAAAGAAGAUCUAAGUAAUUAAGGAAGAGAGAAAAUAAAGGAGAUGAAAGAACAUUUCAAUAAAUAGAGAUACUGAAAAGAAAUCAAUCAAAAUUCCUAGAAAUGAAAGAUAUAAUACUGCUGAGAGCCACAGCCAAGUCAGAAUGAUGCAUGGCAUUUGUACCAGAAGGGAGUGGUUGAGAGGUGAUGCCAGCGUGCCAUUGAGAUGAUGAUGGUUAUGUUAAGCUGUGUAUUCAAUUGUAUAUUAGACCCCUGCUGUCCCCCUGGGCCUGCUACUUUGGAGUUCUUGAGCUACUUUGGAGUUCUUGGGAGAUUCCUGGAGAGUUUGCAUUGGUUGGGGAGGUGCUGGAGGAGGGAUUUCUGGUGUGUGGUGUUCCUGAAAGGGCCACGUGGGUGGCGUUCCCGGGAGUUCGGAUAAUAAAGGGGUUCCUAUUUUGAACCCACAAGUGCCUCAUGGCGGCUCAGUUAUUUUGUGCCCAGCCAGACUGCGGCAUUUGGUGGCCCGUGUGGGGGACGCCUGAAGCUUGGGGGUAAGUAAAAUUGCUUGCCCCUGAGGAAAGGCGAGAGAAUAGGUGACCAUUUCAAAAAAAAAUGUGUUCUUGUUUUGAUUUGUUUUGUAUUUGUUUCAAGCUGCCUGUCCCUAGAACUUUCUCAAGCAAACUGGGAAAAAUGGUUGGCUCAAGGUUUGAAGUGGUUCGCCCCUGAGGAAGAGAUAGAGAUAGACCAUGAAUAUACAUUUCAAGAAAAUAGGAAAAUUGAAACAAUGAUUUUUUGUUCAUUUUUGUUUCACUGUGUUUCGGUUUUGUUUUGUGUUAUCUUGUUGGGUUGCGUUAUCCUUGUAGCACAAAUAUGGGAUUAGAAAUUAGUAAAAAACAAACCGAAAGAGUGUUAAGUAAAAUGCUAGAGGAAGGAGGCAUCCCCAGUAAAACCAAGAGCAGUCAGGGCAUACGUUGAUACAAUACAAAAAUGUAGCCCAUGGCUUUUUAAGGAGGAGUUGUUGAAUAUUCCACGAGGAGGAAAUGAAGAACAACAAUGAAAAUCUACAAAGAGAAGAACUACAAUAAAGGAAAAACCAACCAAAGGAGAAACCAAGUCAAACUAAAUACCAAAAUCCCCAAAAUGACUGGUAAUACAAUUCGUGUCUCUUUUAACCCUUUUUGAUAAAUUUUUACACAUAAAAAUUUUAACUAUAAUAUUAUUUAAUUUUUCAGGUUUUUGUUUAUUUUGUACUUAUUGUUUUCCAUUUCUCUUCACAAAGGUAUACAAAUAUUUUCUUUAAAAGUUUUUGCAUUUUAUACAUUAUAUUUUAAUAUAUAAUUAAUCUGGUAUGUGUAUAUAUAGUGCCUGUGCUAUGAGCUAAGGUAUAUUUUAGUCUCCUAUAAUUAAAAAUCCAUUAUUCAAGAUUCAAGGAUGAAAAAGAUCAAUCAGAGUAAAAAUUUUUAAUAAGGUAUUUAAAAAGGUAAGGGCAAGGUUGAGGGAAACUAACAAAUUUUGUGAAGCACCUUUUCUUCCGAAACUUGGAGAGGUAGGAGGUGAAAGAAGAAAGAGCCACUAUGAAAACCUUGUAGGAGAAGUCGACCUAACUGAAGUUAUUUCCACCAAAAGCAUGAAGAAACCCACACUCAGUCUAAUAGAGUCUUAUAAGGAGAAAUAAAACACUUUGCUCUACUCUUGUAUAUUCUGAAUUUAUCUCUUUGGUGUCCUUUUUUGACGGAACUCAAUAAGAAACCACAUAACAGGGGAACUUAUCAUGCAGCCUGCAGCAUAUGUCUCACCAAAACGUGAAAGAUGGAGAGAGGAGCCAAUAUGGCAGCCACUGGUUACAUGAAACUACUGAGUAUUU